This is a non-coding RNA of Podarcis lilfordi (Lilford's wall lizard), 71 nucleotides long. The record is from the annotation of a GenBank genome assembly. NCBI's taxonomy places the organism in Eukaryota, Metazoa, Chordata, Lepidosauria, Squamata, Lacertidae.
GGGAUAGCACACUCACUAGAGCAUGAGACUCUUAAUCUCAAGGUCAUGGGUUCGAGCCUCACAUAAAAUCA